Molecule: ribosomal RNA, 481 nt
Filed under: uncultured bacterium
Lineage: Bacteria
Description: partial 16S ribosomal RNA
Rfam family: Bacterial small subunit ribosomal RNA
Source: RNAcentral
UUGAACGCUGGCGGCAUGCUUUACCCCUGCCAGUCGAACGGUAACAGGCCGCAAGUUGCUGCCGGGUGGGGAAGGGGUGAGUAAUGCAUCGGAACGUGCCCAGUCGUGGGGGAUACCUACUCGAAAGAGUAGCUAAUACCGCAUACGAGCUAUGGAGGAAAGCGGGGAACGGUAAGGCCCGGCGCGUUUGGACCGGCGGAUGUCCGGUUAGGUAGUUGGUGGGGUAAAGGCUCCCCAUGCCAACGAUCUGUAGCUGGUCUGAGAGGACGACCAGCCACACUGGGACUGAGACACGGCCCAGACUCCUACGGGAGGCAGCAGUGGGGAAUUUUGGACAAUGGGCGCAAGCCUGAUCCAGCAAUGCCGCGUGCAGGAAGAAGGCCUUCGGGUUGUAAACUGCUUUUGUACGGAACGAAACGGCUCUGGUUAAUACCCGGGGCUAAUGACGGUACCGUAAGAAUAAGCACCGGCUAACUACGUG